GGUGCUAAUACCGCAUAACCAUAGUUACCGCAUGGUAACUAUGUAAAAGGUGGCUAUACUACCGCUUUUGGAUGGGCCCGCGGCGCAUUAGCUAGUUGGUAGGGUAAAGGCUUACCAAGGCAAUGAUGCGUAGCCGAAUUGAGAGGUUGAUCGGCCACAUUGGGACUGAGACACGGCCCAAACUCCUACGGGAGGCAGCAGUAGGGAAUCUUCCACAAUGGGCGAAAGCCUGAUGGAGCAACGCCGCGUGGGUGAAGAAGGUCUUCGGAUCGUAAAACCCUGUUGUUAGAGAAGAAAGUGCGUGAGAGUAACUGUUCACGUUUCGACGGUAUCUAACCAGAAAGCCACGGCUAACUACGUGCCAGCAGCCGCGGUAAUACGUAGGUGGCAAGCGUUAUCCGGAUUUAUUGGGCGUAAAGGGAACGCAGGCGGUCUUUUAAGUCUGAUGUGAAAGCCUUCGGCUUAACCGGAGUAGUGCAUUGGAAACUGGGAGACUUGAGUGCAGAAGAGGAGAGUGGAACUCCAUGUGUAGCGGUGAAAUGCGUAGAUAUAUGGAAGAACACCAGUGGCGAAAGCGGCUCUCUGGUCUGUAACUGACGCUGAGGUUCGAAAGCGUGGGUAGCAAACAGGAUUAGAUACCCUGGUAGUCCACGCCGUAAACGA
Molecule: ribosomal RNA, 663 nt
Filed under: uncultured bacterium
Lineage: Bacteria
Description: bacterial SSU rRNA
Rfam family: Bacterial small subunit ribosomal RNA
Source: RNAcentral